RNAcentral lists this unclassified non-coding RNA (323 nucleotides) under uncultured fungus. Its description in RNAcentral is "partial contains 5.8S ribosomal RNA, internal transcribed spacer 2, and large subunit ribosomal RNA". Lineage: Eukaryota; Fungi. The record is from RNAcentral.
AACGCACCUUGCGCUCCUUGGUAUUCCUUGGAGCAUGCCUGUUUGAGUAUCAUGAAAUCUUCAAAGUCAAUCUUUUGUUAAUUCAAUUGGUUGUGCUUUGGUAUUGGAGGUCUUUGCAGCUUCACACCUGCUCCUCUUUGUGCAUUAGCUGGAUCUCAGUGUUAUGCUUGGUUCCACUCGGCGUGAUAAGUUAUCUAUCGCUGAGGACACUGUAAAAAGUGGCCAAGGUAAAUGCAGAUGAACCGCUUCCAACAGUCCAUUCACUUGGACAAUAAUUUUUAUGAUCUGAUCUCAAAUCAGGUAGGACUACCCGCUGAACUUAA